Poecilia reticulata (guppy) is the source of this 170-nucleotide non-coding RNA. The record is from RefSeq and is a predicted model, not a curated record. Lineage: Eukaryota; Metazoa; Chordata; Actinopteri; Cyprinodontiformes; Poeciliidae.
AAGAAGAAAAAGAAAAAGAAGACCAAGAAAAAGAAGGAUAAGGACUCUAGCUCUUCCUCUGACAGUGAUGACAAGAAAAAGAAAAAGAAGAAGAAGAAAAAGAAGUCCUCCAGCUCUUCUGAUGAAAGCUCUUCUUCUUCUGAUAGUGAUGGCAGCAAGGUACGAUGUGC